UACAGAGGUCUCAAGCGUUGUUCGGAUUCAUUGGGCGUAAAGGGCGUGUAGGUGGCGCGCUAAGUCGGGUGUGAAAUUUCGGAGCUUAACUCCGAAACUGCAUUCGAUACUGGCGUGCUUGAGGACUGGAGAGGAGACUGGAAUUUACGGUGUAGCAGUGAAAUGCGUAGAUAUCGUAAGGAAGACCAGUGGCGAAGGCGGGUCUCUGGACAGUUCCUGACACUGAGACACGAAGGCCAGGGGAGCAAACGGG
This 253-nucleotide ribosomal RNA is filed under the name uncultured bacterium. Its description in RNAcentral is "partial 16S ribosomal RNA". It matches the Rfam family "Bacterial small subunit ribosomal RNA", at positions 524 to 776 of the family's 1533-position model. The record is from RNAcentral.